RNAcentral lists this ribosomal RNA (253 nucleotides) under uncultured bacterium. RNAcentral describes it as "partial 16S ribosomal RNA". It matches the Rfam family "Bacterial small subunit ribosomal RNA", at positions 524 to 776 of the family's 1533-position model. The record is from RNAcentral.
UACGUAGGGGGCAAGCGUUGUCCGGAUUUAUUGGGCGUAAAGAGCGUGUAGGCGGUUUUAUAGGUCUGGUGUGAAAACUCGAGGCUCAACCUCGAGACGCCGGUGGAAACCGUAAAGCUAGAGUCCGGAAGAGGAGAGUGGAAUUCCUGGUGUAGCGGUGAAAUGCGCAGAGAUCAGGAAGAACACCCGUGGCGAAGGCGGCUCUCUGGGACGGUCCUGACGCUGAGACGCGAAAGCGUGGGGAGCGAACAGG